RNAcentral lists this ribosomal RNA (1593 nucleotides) under Staphylococcus pseudintermedius. Its description in RNAcentral is "partial 23S ribosomal RNA". It matches the Rfam family "Bacterial large subunit ribosomal RNA", at positions 1239 to 2832 of the family's 2925-position model. The record is from RNAcentral. Lineage: Bacteria; Bacillati; Bacillota; Bacilli; Caryophanales; Staphylococcaceae.
UUCUAAGGGCGUUGAAGCAUGAUCGCAAGGACAUGUGGAGCGCUUAGAAGUGAGAAUGCCGGUGUGAGUAGCGAAAGACGGGUGAGAAUCCCGUCCACCGAUUGACUAAGGUUUCCAGAGGAAGGCUCGUCCGCUCUGGGUUAGUCGGGUCCUAAGCUGAGGCCGACAGGCGUAGGCGAUGGAUAACAGGUUGAUAUUCCUGUACCACCAUUAUUCGUUUUAAGCGAUGGGGGGACGCAGUAGGAUAGGCGAAGCGUGCUGUUGGAGUGCACGUCCAAGCAGUGAGAUUGAGUGUUAGGCAAAUCCGGCACUCUUAAGAUUGAGCUGUGAUGGGGAGAGGAACUUGUUCCUCGAGUCGUUGAUUUCACACUGCCGAGAAAAGCCUCUAGCUAGAAUAACGGUGCCCGUACCGCAAACCGACACAGGUAGUCAAGAUGAGAAUUCUAAGGUGAGCGAGCGAACUCUCGUUAAGGAACUCGGCAAAAUGACCCCGUAACUUCGGGAGAAGGGGUGCUCUUUGAGGUUCACGCUUCGAAGAGCCGCAGUGAAUAGGCCCAAGCGACUGUUUAUCAAAAACACAGGUCUCUGCUAAACCGUAAGGUGACGUAUAGGGGCUGACGCCUGCCCGGUGCUGGAAGGUUAAGAGGAGUGGUUAGCGCAAGCGAAGCUACGAAUCGAAGCCCCAGUAAACGGCGGCCGUAACUAUAACGGUCCUAAGGUAGCGAAAUUCCUUGUCGGGUAAGUUCCGACCCGCACGAAAGGCGUAACGAUUUGGGCACUGUCUCAACGAGAGACUCGGUGAAAUCAUAGUACCGGUGAAGAUGCCGGUUACCCGCGACAGGACGGAAAGACCCCGUGGAGCUUUACUGUAGCCUGAUAUUGAAAUUCGGUACAGUUUGUACAGGAUAGGUAGGAGCCUUAGAAGCGUGAGCGCUAGCUUACGUGGAGGCAUUGGUGGGAUACUACCCUAAUUGUAUUGGAUUUCUAACCCGCAGCACUUAUCGUGCUGGGAGACAGUGUCAGGCGGGCAGUUUGACUGGGGCGGUCGCCUCCUAAAGAGUAACGGAGGCGCUCAAAGGUUCCCUCAGAAUGGUUGGAAAUCAUUCAUAGAGUGUAAAGGCAUAAGGGAGCUUGACUGCGAGACCUACAAGUCGAGCAGGGUCGAAAGACGGACUUAGUGAUCCGGUGGUUCCGCAUGGAAGGGCCAUCGCUCAACGGAUAAAAGCUACCCCGGGGAUAACAGGCUUAUCUCCCCCAAGAGUUCACAUCGACGGGGAGGUUUGGCACCUCGAUGUCGGCUCAUCGCAUCCUGGGGCUGUAGUCGGUCCCAAGGGUUGGGCUGUUCGCCCAUUAAAGCGGUACGCGAGCUGGGUUCAGAACGUCGUGAGACAGUUCGGUCCCUAUCCGUCGUGGGCGUAGGAAAUUUGAGAGGAGCUGUCCUUAGUACGAGAGGACCGGGAUGGACAUACCUCUGGUGUACCAGUUGUCGUGCCAACGGCAUAGCUGGGUAGCUAUGUAUGGACGGGAUAAGUGCUGAAAGCAUCUAAGCAUGAAGCCCCCCUCGAGAUGAGAUUUCCCAACUUCGGUUAUAAG